RNAcentral lists this ribosomal RNA (251 nucleotides) under uncultured prokaryote. Its description in RNAcentral is "partial 16S ribosomal RNA". It matches the Rfam family "Bacterial small subunit ribosomal RNA", at positions 525 to 775 of the family's 1533-position model. The record is from RNAcentral.
ACGUAGGGUGCGAGCGUUAAUCGGAAUUACUGGGCGUAAAGCGUGCGCAGGCGGUUCGCUAAGACAGGUGUGAAAUCCCCGGGCUUAACCUGGGAAUGGCGCUUGUUACUGGCAGGCUAGAGUGUGGCAGAGGGGGGUGGAAUUCCUCGUGUAGCAGUGAAAUGCGUAGAGAUGAGGAGGAACAUCGGUGGCGAAGGCAACCGCCUGGGCCGAUACUGACGCUGAUGCACGAAAGCGUGGGGAGCAAACAG